UGACGAGUUUGAUCCUGGCUCAGAUUGAACGCUGGCGGAAUGCUUUACACAUGCAAGUCGAACGGUAGAGGGGGCAACCCCUCGAGAGUGGCGAACGGGUGAGUAAUAUAUCGGAACGUGCCCAGUCGUGGGGGAUAACGUAGCGAAAGUUACGCUAAUACCGCAUGAGACCCGAGGGUGAAAGCGGGGGAUCGCAAGACCUCGCGCUAUUGGAGCGGCCGAUAUCAGAUUAGCUAGUU
This 239-nucleotide ribosomal RNA is filed under the name uncultured Burkholderiales bacterium. RNAcentral's name for it is "partial 16S ribosomal RNA". It matches the Rfam family "Bacterial small subunit ribosomal RNA", at positions 1 to 250 of the family's 1533-position model. The record is from RNAcentral. Lineage: Bacteria; Pseudomonadati; Pseudomonadota; Betaproteobacteria; Burkholderiales.